UCGGGGCGCAGCAGGCGCGAAAACUGCACAAUGUGGGAAACCACGAUGCGGGAAACCCAAGUGCCAGCACUAUGUGUUGGCUGUCCUCAAGCGUUCGUUGCUUGGGAAGAAAGUGCUGGGUAAGACGGGUGCCAGCCGCCGCGGUAAUACCCGCAGCACAAGUGGUGGUCAUUAUUAUUGGGCCUAAAGCGUCCGUAGCUGGCCUGCUAGAUGCCUGGGUAAAUCGAAGCGCUCAACGUUUCGAAUUCCGGGUAGACCGGCAGGCUCGAGACCGGGAGAGGUGUGGGCUACUCAAGGGGUAGGGGUAAAAUCCUGUAAUCCUUCGGGGAGGACCAGUGGCGAAGGCGCCACACUUGAACGGCUCCGACAGUGAGGGACGAAGCCCUGGGGCGCAAACCGGAUUAGAUACCCGGGUAGUCCAGGGUGUAAACGCUGCAGACUUGGUGUCGGAGAUCCUACGAGGGUCGCCGGUGCCGGAGAGAAGUCGUUGAGUCUGCCGCCUGGGGAGUACGGUCGCAAGACUGAAACUCAAAGGAAUUGACGG
This 544-nucleotide ribosomal RNA is filed under the name uncultured archaeon. RNAcentral describes it as "bacterial SSU rRNA". It matches the Rfam family "Archaeal small subunit ribosomal RNA", at positions 325 to 871 of the family's 1478-position model. The record is from RNAcentral.